This 21-nucleotide small nuclear RNA is filed under the name Arabidopsis thaliana (thale cress). RNAcentral's name for it is "snRNA_07635". Lineage: Eukaryota; Viridiplantae; Streptophyta; Magnoliopsida; Brassicales; Brassicaceae. The record is from RNAcentral.
GGUGACUGCGUUUUGCAGGUU